Marmota monax (woodchuck) is the source of this 2275-nucleotide long non-coding RNA. RefSeq lists it as uncharacterized. NCBI's taxonomy places the organism in Eukaryota, Metazoa, Chordata, Mammalia, Rodentia, Sciuridae. The transcript has 5 exons. The record is from RefSeq and is a predicted model, not a curated record.
UAAGACAUAGUUCCCACCUGACUUUCCCAGGCGCCCCUCUCCUCUCUCUUCAGGCAUCCGCAUCCGGAAGUAUCUUAUGAUGUUCCACUCCGCCCCUAGGCGGGGCCAACAUCUGAAACCCGAAUUCCCAGCGCCUCUCCUUCCAGCUAGCCUAAAGCCCCCUGGCCCUCCGGGAAAAUCCAUGCUUCAUUGGGGUCAUGCGGCAUCGUUUACCACAAAGGACACAGUGGGGUCCAACUGGAUCCAGCGCCGAGAUCCGAGCUGUCAGGCCUUUCCCACUGACGCGAGGCCUCCCCCAAAUUGACUAUAACCCCCUGGCCCUCCGGGGAAAUGGAAACGUCCUUGGGGUCAUCGUUUACCACAAAAGACACAGUGGGGUCCAAUUGGACCCAGCGUGAGAUCUGAGCUGUCAGGCCUUUCCCGCUGACAGGAGGCUUCACCCAGGACUGAAGAGCAGCAGCACUUAAAAGGAGUAGAGAGAAGCAAGACCCUAAUUGGAGGCAAAUCAAGUGAGAAGACAGAGAGAUUGAUGUCCUGGCUCACCUCUAAGGGAUCUCAGCAGUUCGCUAUCCAUUAAUUGCCCCAUGUUCGGGGUUCUUGGGUCAAGAAGAGGGCCCAGUGGCCUCAGAGAAGCAGGUUGAAUAGCACACAGAGAGAAAGGGCCACUGUGAUCCUGGAUCAUCGCUGGGUGCUGGUAUUAUGUUUUCUGCAGACACAACAUCUUUAUUUAUAUGUGGUGCUGAGGAUGGAACCUGGGCCGCACACAUGCCAGGCGAGCGCGCUACCACUUGAGCCACAUCCCCAGCCCUGCCUUCUUCUUCUUUGUCUCAAACUAGUACUCAAUAAUCAGGAAGUUUUUAUUUUCUCCACAAUAGGCUACCCCUGACAGGGUGGCCACCCCUGCUUUUCUUUUCCUUGUCUGGAUGUUGGACUGCAGGUUCCCUGCUGCUCUGAUAACCCUAGGACAGGGCUAACACUGGUUAACCUUGCUCCUGCUGUAAGCCCAGGGAUCAAGGAGUCAAAUGCCCUGAAGUAGUUUUGUCUCAUGGUUGUUAAACAUGGCAGCCACCAAGGCCUGGCCUUUAUCACUUCCUGAGCCUGAUAGGCCUUGGUCACCCCACAGUCCUUGGGGAGCAGGCCUACCUCUGUGGCUUCUAUACUGACUCUGAGGUAAGUGGUGUAGAAGCAAGAGCCUGUCCCAGAAUUCUCUGAAUGCCCCAAUCUACCUUUGCUUAUAUUAGAGGCUUUCCCCACUGAACACUUGAGGAGGAGGUGGAAGCAACAUGCUAAAAGCUUCCAUUUGAUGGCAGUGUUGCUCUAGAAAUGCCAGUCACCCUUGUUUUCACGCCUUUCCCUCUGCUCUUUGUAGCUGAAAAACAUGCCAAUGCAGAUCCAAAAGAAAACCUAGUCUUGGUACAGAGUAGAGGACACAGAAACCAAUCCACAAAACUACAACUACCUUAUAUUUGAUAAAGGGGCUAAAAGCAUGCAAUGGAGGAAGGAUAGCAUCUUCAACAAAUGGUGCUGGGAAAACUGGAAAUCCAUAUGCAACAAAAUGAAACUGAAUCCCUUUCUCUCGCCAUGCACAAAAGUGAAUUCAAAAUGGAUCAAGGAGCUUGAUAUCAAAUCAGAGACACGCCGUCUGAUAGAAGAAAAAGUUGGCUACGAUCUACAUACUGUGGGGUCGGGCUCCAAAUUCCUCAAUAGGACACCCAUAGCACAAAAGUUAAUAACUAGAAUCAACAAAUGGGACUUACUCAAACUAAAAAGUUUUUUCUCAGCAAAAGAAACAAUAAGAGAGGUAAAUAGAGAGCCUACAUCUUGGGUACAAAUCUUUACUCCUCACACUUCAGAUAGAGCCCUAAUAUCCAGAGUAUACAAAGAACUCCAAAAAUUAGACAAUAAGAGAACAAACAACCCAAUCAACAAAUGGGCCAAGGACCUGAACAGACACUUCUCAGAGGAGGACAUACAGUCAAUCAACAAGUACAUGAAAAAAUGCUCACCAUCUCUAGCUGUCAGAGAAAUGCAAAUCAAAACCACCCUAAGAUACCAUCUCACUCCAGUAAGAUUGGCAGCCAUUAGGAAGUCAAACAACAACAAGUGCUGGUGAGGAUGUGGGGGAAAAGGGUACACUUGUACAUUGCUGGUGGGACUGCAAAUUGGUGCAGCCAAUUUGGAAAGCAGUAUGGAGAUUUCUUGGAAAGCUGGGAAUGGAGCCACCAUUUGACCCAGCUAUUCCCCUUCUUGGUCUAUUCCCUAAAGACCUAAAAAG